This is a long non-coding RNA of Girardinichthys multiradiatus, 1217 nucleotides long. RefSeq lists it as uncharacterized. The transcript has 2 exons. NCBI's taxonomy places the organism in Eukaryota, Metazoa, Chordata, Actinopteri, Cyprinodontiformes, Goodeidae. The record is from RefSeq and is a predicted model, not a curated record.
AAGAAAAUAGAACAGGGCGUUACAUGGGUUAAUGUUAACCCCGUCUCCAGCACACCACCUCAGCCCGGAUCCAGCCUCAGCAGUCCGACGGAGACUUUCCCCUUCCUUCCCUUCUUCUCCCAUUUGGGAAAAAACAAACAAACAAACAUGUGAACAAUACAACUGAGACAAGCACUCUUUCUGAGGCUCUCAGCUUCAUGCGGUGGAGAUGUGCAUCCGAGCUUCGCCCAAAAAUCUAACACCCGGUUCAGAUCUGAUCAGAUCACAUCGACAUGAGCGAAAAAACGCGUUUGCGUCUUUAAAAUGAAGAAGAAGAAACUCCAGGGGACUGAUCCGAGGUCGCUCAGCCGAAAGGAGAGGAGGUGGGAAAAAUGGGGGAAACGCGGUGGAUCUGGAAGCUGUUUCAUACAGUCUCAACUGAUAGACAGACGCAUCGAGUGGCUUUUCCUGCUACAGAUUUUACUCCUCCCCUCUCCGCAAGCGUCACCCCUGACAGAGGAGCCUACCUGUCAAUCUUUUUAAUUGUCCUGCUUUCUCUUUCUCUCUCUCUCUCUCUCCGACCCCCCCCCCCCCCCCCCCCCCCCACCACCCUCACCCCCACACACACACUUGCUUUAAAAAUAUCAAACCUCCUUUAUGGGAAAAAAAAAAAUUGAUAUUCUUUCAAACCCACUCUUACACGGUGCAGGGGCACAUCCACAAAGUUUUCAAAAGGGGCAGCCGGACUGGGGAGGCACCCGAAAACCAUCUCAGGAGUUUUAUUAUGCUGCUGCAGUAUGGUAGGGGAGGAUCAACGGUAAUGCACCUGUGCCAUUUUCUGCAACUCAUUGACACUUUUCUCUUCCAUAAAUUACUGUCAUUUUGUUCUGCAGUUAUCAUCUGACUUUUAUUGUUUUUAAGAGUUUUUUUGUUUUGGAUUUUUGUUUUUUUCAAACCCAGCAAGUUCCUUCCCAGGACAUUUUGGACUAAUGAAUCCUUAUCUGUCUGCAGGGGCAUCGCUGGGACAUUUUGAUAGGGGGCAGUGAGAUGGGGGUGCCCACUGAUAAUCUUGAUGUGGCACCCCUUAAAUUUAAAAGCAGUAAUACAGUCUAGAUUAAGUUGUAGUGUGCCGUCAUGAUAUGUAUGCAGCAGAAUUGAGCGAACAAAGGGGAACCCUCCAGAGUAGUGAGUGCUAUAAAGGACAAAAAUUAAGCAUAAAUAAAUAAAUAUUGCAACUA